RNAcentral lists this transfer RNA (73 nucleotides) under Ixodes scapularis (black-legged tick). Its description in RNAcentral is "tRNA-Ser". It matches the Rfam family "tRNA". Rfam says of the family: Transfer RNA (tRNA) molecules are approximately 80 nucleotides in length. Their secondary structure includes four short double-helical elements and three loops (D, anti-codon, and T loops). Lineage: Eukaryota; Metazoa; Arthropoda; Arachnida; Ixodida; Ixodidae. The record is from RNAcentral.
UCCUGGUUAGCUCAGUUGGUAAAGCGCUCCGCUUGAAAUGGAGAGGAGUCUGGUUGGAUACCAGGACCAGACG